AACCAUUACACAUUUCUUCCCUAUUGACAGAGUUUUACGACCCUAAGGCCUUCAUCACUCACGCGGCGUCGCUGCAUCACGGGUUUCCCCCCAUUGUGACAAAAAUUCCCUC
RNAcentral lists this ribosomal RNA (112 nucleotides) under uncultured bacterium. RNAcentral describes it as "partial 16S ribosomal RNA". The record is from RNAcentral.